GGACUACCCGCUGAAUUUAAGCAUAUC
This 27-nucleotide ribosomal RNA is filed under the name Misodendrum brachystachyum. RNAcentral's name for it is "partial 26S ribosomal RNA". Lineage: Eukaryota; Viridiplantae; Streptophyta; Magnoliopsida; Santalales; Misodendraceae. The record is from RNAcentral.